Molecule: ribosomal RNA, 253 nt
Filed under: uncultured bacterium
Lineage: Bacteria
Description: partial 16S ribosomal RNA
Rfam family: Bacterial small subunit ribosomal RNA
Source: RNAcentral
UACGGAGGGUGCAAACGUUGCUCGGAAUCAUUGGGCGUAAAGCGCGCGUAGGCGGUUACUUAAGUCGGAUGUGAAAGCCCUCGGCUUAACUGAGGAAGUGCACCCGAAACUGAGUAGCUAGAGUACGAAAGAGGGUCGCGGAAUUCCCGGUGUAGAGGUGAAAUUCGUAGAUAUCGGGAGGAACACCGGUGGCGAAGGCGGCGACCUGGGUCGAGACUGACGCUGAGGCGCGAAAGCGUGGGGAGCAAACAGG